CCUACGGGAGGCAGCAGUGGGGAAUAUUGCACAAUGGGGGAAACCCUGAUGCAGCGACGCCGCGUGAGUGAAGAAGUAAUUCGUUAUGUAAAGCUCUAUCAGCAGGGAAGAAAAUGACGGUACCUGAGUAAGGAACCCCGGCUAACUACGUGCCAGCAGCCGCGGUAAUACGUAGGGGGCCAGCGUUAACCGGGUUUACUGGGUGUAAAGGGGGCGUAGACGGCCGUGCAAGUCUGGAGUGAAAGGCGGGGGCUCAACCCCCGGAGUGCUCUGGAAACUGUACGGCUGGAGUGCAGGAGAGGUAAGUGGAAUUCCUAGUGUAGCGGUGAAAUGCGUAGAGAUUAGGAGGAACACCAGUGGCGAAGGCGGCUUACUGGACUGUAACUGACGUUGAGGCUCGAAAGCGUGGGGAGCAAACAGGAUUAGAUACCCGUGUAGUC
This 440-nucleotide ribosomal RNA is filed under the name uncultured bacterium. RNAcentral describes it as "partial 16S ribosomal RNA". It matches the Rfam family "Bacterial small subunit ribosomal RNA", at positions 338 to 795 of the family's 1533-position model. The record is from RNAcentral.